RNAcentral lists this ribosomal RNA (492 nucleotides) under uncultured bacterium. RNAcentral's name for it is "partial 16S ribosomal RNA". It matches the Rfam family "Bacterial small subunit ribosomal RNA", at positions 29 to 507 of the family's 1533-position model. The record is from RNAcentral.
AGUGAACGCUGGCGGUAGGCCUAACACAUGCAAGUCGAACGGCAGCACAGUAAGAGCUUGCUCUUCCGGGUGGCGAGUGGCGGACGGGUGAGGAAUACAUCGGAAUCUACUUUUUCGUGGGGGUUAACGUAGGGGAACUUACGCUAAUACCGCAUACGACCUACGGGUGAAAGCAGGGGAUCUUCGGACCUUGCGGGAUUGAAUGAGCCGAUGUCGGAUGAGCUAGUUGGCGGGGUGAAGGCCCACCAAGGCGACGAUCCGUAGCUGGACUGAGAGGAUGGUCGGCCACACUGGAACUGGGACACGGUCCAGACUCCUACGGGAGGCACCAGUGGGGAAUGUUGGACAAUGGGCGCAAGCCUGAUCCAGCCAUACCGCGUGGGUGAAGAAGGCCUUCGGGUUGUAAAGCCCUUUUUUUGGGAAAGAAAAGCAGCAGGUUAAUACCCCGCGGUACUGACGGUACCCAAAGAAUAAGCACCGGCUAACUACGUG